This 355-nucleotide ribosomal RNA is filed under the name uncultured bacterium. Its description in RNAcentral is "partial 16S ribosomal RNA". It matches the Rfam family "Bacterial small subunit ribosomal RNA", at positions 338 to 710 of the family's 1533-position model. The record is from RNAcentral.
CCUACGGGUGGCAGCAGUGGGGAAUAUUGGACAAUGGGCGGAAGCCUGAUCCAGCGAAGCCGCGUGAGGGAAGAAGUAUCUCGGUAUGUAAAGCACUAUCAGCAAGGAAGAAAAUGACGGUACCUGUCUAAGAAUCCGCGGCUAACUACGUGACAGCAGCCGCGGUAAUACGGAGGGGGCAGGCGUUAUCCGGAUUUACUGGGUGUAAAGGGAGCGUAGACGGUGCAGCAAGUCUGAUGGGAAAGGUCGGGGCCUAACCCCGGGACUGCAUUGGAAACUGUUGAACUGGAGUACAGGAGAGGUAAGCGGAAUUCCGGGUGUAGCGGUGAAAUGCGUAGAUAUGAGGAGGAACACC